GGUCCAGUGGUUCUAGACAGUUCAACAGUAGUGAGCCCACAUUUGUGAAAUGUUUAGGACCACUUGAUCCGG
MicroRNA precursor from Seriola lalandi dorsalis, 72 nucleotides. The record is from Ensembl. NCBI's taxonomy places the organism in Eukaryota, Metazoa, Chordata, Actinopteri, Carangiformes, Carangidae.